RNA transcript from Ostrinia furnacalis (Asian corn borer), 4364 nucleotides. It is a transcript of the gene named regulator of G-protein signaling 9, with no coding region annotated. The record is from RefSeq and is a predicted model, not a curated record. The transcript is spliced from 17 exons. NCBI's taxonomy places the organism in Eukaryota, Metazoa, Arthropoda, Insecta, Lepidoptera, Crambidae.
UCGCCGCCGCCUGCCGCGCCGCCGCCAUGGCCGCGCGCCGCGACCGCUGACCGCAGCGACCGACCGCGCCCGGCUUCGCUCCACGCGACGCACGACUCCCUCGCCCCACACCUCGCUGCGCCGCCGCUAGAUGGUAGAAGACUGCCAAUGGAGACGCGGGGCCGUGUUAGCGGAGGUCGGUGGUAAUUGACAUUAACGGAGACAGAAAUGUGCGGCGUAGUCCAUGGGAUCAGACGUGCCGCUCAUCCGGCGCCUCUCGCUAUGCGGAGCCGGACCACCCCUCAGAAAUGAGGUGUCGGGGGCGCAGCGCGGGCGCGAGCGGCAUGCGGCCCUGGCAGCAGACACCCAUGGAGGUCGGCUAGCGGCGCGCGCGCAGCCCCCGCGCCCGCUACCCCCGCCCCGCCCCGCCGACAACAUGGAACUCGCCGACGUGCCUCGACACCGACCCCUGGCCUUCGAUAAGAUGGAAAGUUUGAUAAAAGAAAUGCAAGAUCCAGAAACGGGUGUACCAGUACGAAGUCAAAAACUUUUUCUUAGUGUCAUACCGUCUGCUUUUAUGGGUUAUGAUCUUGUCGAAUGGCUAAUGGAACGGUUUAAUCUCGAUGAAACAAGCAACGGUGAGUGUUUUAUAAGCGGCGUUGGAGCUUGGAUAUUCUCUCGGCGGCGAAACCCAGUAGAGUCUAGCCAUAGCGAGUUCCCACAAGCGUUGAUAUUUGAAGCAAUAAACUUAGCCAAUCAACUCUGCCAAUAUGGUUACUUCUUCCCCGUCAACGAUUUGAAAAACCUUGUGUUAAAAGAUGACUCAUCUCUUUAUAGAUUUCAAAGUCCAUACUACUGGCCAUGGCAAGCGCCUCGGGUGGCCGGCAGUGGAUCCAGCGCCCCAACCCUGGGCCCCGACAACGUGGAGUAUGCCAUAUACCUGGUCAAACGCACACUACGGAACAAGCAACGCCACGGGCUCGAGGAGUACGAGCAGGAGACGCUCGCCAACCUCAAGAAGAAUCUCGCCGCCAAAUGGGACUUUAUCACCAUGCAAGCUGAGGAACAGGUGCGUCUGGCGAAAGAGCGCAAAAAGGGCGAUAAGAUAGUGUCGGACAGCCAAGAGCGAGCGUACUGGCGAGUAGCCCGGCCUCCACCAGGGGUCGCUAGUGCGCUCGAGCCGUGCCCUGUGCCGGUGCGCGUGCGCCAUCCGCGACCGAAGCGCCGCACCAUCCACCACCUGACCAGAGAGAUCGAACAUCUAAAAGUGAGCCUGGACCGCACGCGAGUGAAGACUUCAAUUGCCCUAGAGGCCCUCGUGGCCUACUCGGAGACCUUCGCUCCCUACGAUCCCUGGCUCACCCCGCCGCAGCCCUCCAACCCUUGGGUUAGCGACGACACCCUCUUUUGGCAAAUUAACAGCCCUCUAGUGGAAGUUCCGAGUGAAAAGCGCGUGCAGCGAUGGGCGCUAUCCAUCGAGGAGCUGGUGUCAGACCCCACGGGGCUGCAAGAGUUCACCAGCUUCCUCCGCAAGGAGUAUUCGCACGAAAACAUUCGCUUCUGGCUGGCAGUUAUGGACUUACGACGAAGCAGCACCAAGCAAAUACCCAAGAAACUUGAGGAAAUCUACGAAGAGUUCCUGAAGCCGGGCGCGCCUUGCGAGAUCAACAUCGACGGCGCGACGGCGGAACGCGUGAACGAGGGCCUACGUUCAGGCUCGCGAUAUGCCCUCGAUCACGCAGCGGACCACGUGUAUGGACUGCUAUUAAAGAAGGACUGCUACCCACGAUUCGUGCGCUCCGACCACUUUCAGCGACUUCUGACUGAGGGUCGAAACGUGCACCAAAAGAAAGCCAAGUUCUUCAACUUCGGCGGACAAGUGAAGAAAAAGCCGGGCUCGACGAGCGGCUCGGGCAGCGGCUCCGCGCUGACGCGGCGCCGCGGCUCCGACCGCUCGCUGUCGGGCUCUGCGCACGAGUUGGCCGUGUGUGCGGCACAGCCACCACGCGCGCCCGAACCGCCACCUCAUAGCCAUUCGCAGUCCAAUCUCGCUGACAUACCCUUCAGGGAUCCUCUCGACGACGACACGGCGGACGUUCUGCCGUGGGAGAGUUCUUCCCGGGAGGGUAUGUGCAGCGUGGCUGGGCGACGAAGGCAGGACUCUACUGCUGACUCGGGCAGCUCAUCGUCUGACGUCAGCGCUGCUGUCGCGGUGGCAGAGAGGACUCGGCGUUUACCGCAGCAGAGCACGUUAGACGGAGGUCUCCGAGGCGCGCCGCCGCCGCUCCGGCGGCUGUCGGCCGUCGAGCCGCGCCAUCUCGCGCCGCUGGGGUCGCCGCCGCACGAACCGAAGCCAAUAGAGCGACCACGGCCGGCGCCGCCGCCCGCGUGCGCGGCGGUGGCGGUGGCGCACCCCACGCCGACCAUCAGCGUGAGCUCGGCGCCCGACGACGAGUCCGCGGGCUCGGGCGCCGCGUCGCCCGACGAGCCGCGCUCGCAGCCCGCCUCCGACGACCCGCCCUCGGUGUUCGCCUCCGCCGACGCCACGCCCACCGACCCCUCGCGCUCCCUCCACGACCGAACUGAACCGCGAGUGGAAGUGACCGUGGACAGUGCGAGUGAACUCUUGAUAGGAACAACGAGUCCGGCCUCAAGUAAAGAUAGUCAAAUCGCCGAUCUUCCAUGCCCCGCCGCGGAGUCGAGCGAGGCCUCGGAGCCGCCGGAGCCGCCGCCGGCCGCCGCGCCGCCGGUCGCCGGGCCGCCGGCCGCCGCGCCGGUCGCGCCUCUCGCCGUCUGCGAGGACAUCGGCGUCGACGACGACAACGUAGACAAAGUGCCUUCGGCGCCCAUGCAGCGGGUCUCGGCUCCCGAGGCGGCAUCCGAGUCGGACGCGAGAAAUAUUGCUCACAAAGACGAACUGUCGUCGGUCUCUGAAUCAAAUAUUGUUAAGCGUGAUAAUAAAAGCGUCAUCGGCGAGCGUAAGCGGAACGACAUAUGUCCGUGGGAGGACGAGUAAGUAAUCGUGAGUUUAGUUUGUGCAUUGUUCAGUUACACGUAGAUUUAUUUUUAUAGCUAUUAAAAUAUUUAGUUCACAUUAUGCUGUUUUAAACAUUUGUAGCCAUGCACCACGUCUGUGUAUUUUAUCCCGUGUGAAUGUUUAUGCACGACUCCUGCUCCUAGUAGGUAGAGCUCAUCUCUGAAUCAUAUUACUACAGAGACUUGUAUUACCUACAAGAAUUCUAUCCUUGGAUUCUAAUAGUUAUUAUUAGGACACCAUUGUUCAUCCACUUUACCUUACCUACUGCUUUUGUAGAGACUAAAUAAGUAGGUACAUAGUUGCAGGCAAUUUUAGCAGACUGAAUGAAUUUGAAAUUAUUUUCAGCACUCCAUACUCGUAUUUUUGAAAGCCCUUCAGUAAUCGAAUCUGAAUUUCAAGUCAUUAUCAUAUCGCUUCCACUAUCGCAAAAUUCUCCAAAUAAUUGAAUUAAAACAUCAGCGCUGUUUUAGAUCUCAUUGAUACGGUAAUUGCAUUCAAAAAUAGUGCUGAUACAAAUAAGUAUGGCUUUCUAUAAAAUUAGAACUUAAUAAGUAAGCCAAGUUUAAGCGUGGCCUCAGGAGCACAUUUUCUUCUACCCAUUUAAGUAGGAAUUCCUGUGAGAGUGAUGCUCCAUUUGUUAAAACUUAUGCAACGCUGGGUUAUUUAUAAUUUUUGUAGACGAAUAUCAAUAAUAUUUUAUGAUGUCAGGGUUAUAGAAAGAAUAAUAUUUAAUUUUUUAUCUUAGACUCUUUGUUUUUAAUUAUCACAGAGUUAGGCCAUUAUUAUGUAAUUAUAUGAAUAUUUUAAAGUAAAUGAUCGUUAAUUAUUAGAAACUUGUGUGUUUUAUUAUACUAGGUAACCUUAUUUGUUGCAAAAAAUCCUUACGAUAAAUUAAUGUUUAUUGGGAUUGAAAUUGAAACAUAUACUCAUUUUCCAAUUAUUUAUUUAAAAAAAAUCGUAAUCUAAGUUAGCAACCAAAUCAAUAGGUGAUUGAUUCUACAAAUUCUUAUCUUAAAACAUACAUGGAUAAUACUGUUUACUUUAACAUGAAUUCUUUCAAACACAUACUUAUCCAGUCCAUACAAAUUCAGUUACAAUUUCAGUUGCUGAGAUCCAAAAAUCGUGAUUAAUUUAUCAAAAUCACAUCACAUUCAAUUUUCUUUAUGAAAUAUACCAACCUAAAAUUUGCAUAAAACAUUCAAGAAAUGUAGAGCCAGUUUCUUAAAAUGUUGACACAAUAAAUAAUGAUUUGGUGGGUUUGACACAAUUUUAACUUAUUACUAAUUACGUUUUACAAAAAACGAGGAUAUCCGAGUAGUACGAUGGUUUAGUAGCAUCAGUUCCAUUA